GGCCUAACACAUGCAAGUCGAGGGGUAUGCUUCUUCGGAAGCAGAGACCGGCGCACGGGUGCGGAACACGUGUGCAACCUACCUUUAUCAGGGGGAUAGCCUUUCGAAAGGAAGAUUAAUACCCCAUAAUAUAUUGAAUGGCAUCAUUCGAUAUUGAAAACUCCGGUGGAUAGAGAUGGGCACGCGCAAGAUUAGAUAGUUGGUGAGGUAACGGCUCACCAAGUCAAUGAUCUUUAGGGGGCCUGAGAGGGUGAUCCCCCACACUGGUACUGAGACACGGACCAGACUCCUACGGGAGGCAGCAGUGAGGAAUAUUGGACAAUGGGUGAGAGCCUGAUCCAGCCAUCCCGCGUGAAGGACGACGGCCCUAUGGGUUGUAAACUUCUUUUGUAUAGGGAUAAACCUUUCCACGUGUGGAAAGCUGAAGGUACUAUACGAAUAAGCACCGGC
RNAcentral lists this ribosomal RNA (450 nucleotides) under uncultured Flavobacteriia bacterium. RNAcentral describes it as "bacterial SSU rRNA". It matches the Rfam family "Bacterial small subunit ribosomal RNA", at positions 45 to 497 of the family's 1533-position model. The record is from RNAcentral. Lineage: Bacteria; Pseudomonadati; Bacteroidota; Flavobacteriia.